ACCAACCAAGUGGACAGAAACUCUCAACACAACCAAUCACCCCAGACUCACCCCUUCUCAUCCUGGAUGAUGAUAUCAACCAAAAGGUAUUUGAUUCCUUUUGGUUUUAGCCUUUUAGGACAUAGGUGUUGUGAGAACCCAACUUUUCUUUGGUAUAUGUGCUAUUUUCUCUUUUCUUACAUUACUUAUACAAACGUCAGCUACUUUCAUAAGGAAUCCAUUUGAUAGUUGAUUAGAAAGUAUUGAUUGAACCCAUACUAUAGUUAUCUUGUAUAGUAAUGCUUUUUCAAUACGUAAACCUAGCUCUGAAUUAUAAUAUGUGGUUAAUCAAAGUCCUGAUCUAUUGUUAUCUAAUUAUCAUGGUUCGCUGGCACCUAUUGGUCAUUUAGAUAAUGACAUUCAUGUUUGAUGUGACAUUUAUGUUAUCUCAAGUUCUGUUUAAUGUUUUUGUGCUUAUUCUAAUUCACUUUUAAAUUUUACAAAGUAUUAAAGUCCUUGCUACUUAAGAUGUACUUAAGACGGUCAACCAUAUAAGAUUGGUAGUGGAAAAUAUUGAAAUCUAAUCAUCUAACCUAUACUAAAAGGGUUAUAUGAGCAUCAGAGAGUGUGUCCACGUAGGACAAUAAAAUCAUCCAAUCAAAUUGUCUUAAGAUGCCAUGUCAGCUUAGUAAAAAAAAAAUCUACAAUGGCGAUUCCUUCUUCUUCUUCGACGCUUUUCCAGUGUCUCUAUCCAACUUCUCAGCCGUUUCAAGUUUUCUUCCAUGAUCUUUAUUUCACGAUUUUGUUCAAAGAUCAUAUGGACCCCUCAAUAUAUUCAAGUUAAUUUAGCCCAAAGCCUUAAUUGAAACCUAAAAGCAAGAUGUGUUCACGCCGUCGUCUUCCUCGAACAUCUUCGCUCUGAAACUGUGAUUAAGUUAGUCGCUAAUAGAGGUUGUUCACGUUUCAUAGACUCUUCCUUCUGCAAUCAUGGAGAUAAUUACUUUCGUUACGUUUCUAUGUCUAUGUCGGCGUCGUUUUGUUUUCGAUUAAUCUCCUCUUAGAUUCUUAAAUCUCUUCCUAGCGGUGGAUCUUCCAUUAUAAAAAGGUGCGGCUGCUCAGAAACGGAAAAGCGUGACGAGUUGAUGGGAGUUGACAUAAUCCUCUUCGAUGAUAAGUCGACACUCAUGCCAGCCACCGUAAUGUCAACCGUCUCGACACCUUCCGGCACCACCGUCUCAAGGCGGGUACUCUGUUCACUGUUAGCAGAUUCGAGGAUGUCUCAAUCGUCUCACCACCUUUCACUCUAUCCUCGCUCUCCUUCCUCCUCUCGAGAUCUUGCUCAUCAUGCUUUGUGGUGAUCACUUCUCUCGCUAUUUUCCUUCCUCACCAAUUCUCUUGGUAAAAUUUUGUAUCCUUUGCACUCAGGUACAUUAGUUGAUUGAAGCACUAACUAGGUAACCAUCUUAUGCUCUUUUAUUUUUGAACAACAAAAAGCUUGAAGCCUUAUCAAAUGGUAAAAAUCGAAGGCAUCUGAUGCAGGUUGGUAUUUUAACGAGGACAAAGUUUUGGACAGCUUAGUAUAGCCUCUUUUUUUUGUUUUCAUACAACUUUUUUGUGUUCAGACAACUUAGUAUAGCUUGGAAAUGAAAUUUAGAAUUAGCCAAUUAUGUAAGGAAUAUUUAUAUAUUACGGUCACUCUACACAAGGAUAUUGUUAUUGCUAUAUAAGAAAUAUACUGUUAAUAAUAUAUGAAGUCUUAGAAGCUUGAAUUUUUUUAGUAUUUGCAUUCAUUAGUUUUAUUGCAUCAUGCACAAAUGCUGUCAUAUAUAUAACAUGACUAAACUGUCUACUUGAAUUGUGUGCGCAACCAUCUUGACACCAAGCUCAUAUUGUUUAUUUUUUAUUUUUUACUUUCUAUUUGAUGCAAUUUAAUUUUGCUGUAGUUAAUGUCAAUUUUUUCAAUUUUUUGUUUUUUUUCUAAUACUUUUUUCUAUAUUAUAUGAUAGCUUUCUGUGAAAGAUGUUUCUAAUAACUGGAAAAUGGUUGGAACAGAUGUAGGAAACAAACUAUUCUUGAAAGAGCCAUCAUCCAAUGUAAUUUUGUUAGAUUGCAUUUCAUUCGAGUCCUGAGAAAUGCAAAGUUGUGACAUAUUUUGUCAGAUUACAUUUGAUUAUGUCUCCAAGUAAGCUAUAAUUUAUACACGACCUGAAGAUGAAAAUACAUGGAAGACAUGAGUGCUUUCUCUAUAUUUCUCUAACGUGCAAGAAUUUCUAUAUUUCUCUAACGUGCAAGAAUAUUUUUUCCCUACAAAUAAUAGGAAUCCUAAAUAAUAAUUUUGGGAACUUUUUUCUAAUAUUAGAUCAUUAUUUUUUAUUAAAACACAAUGAGCAGUGGACGACAUAUACAUGCAUAUGCUAGACAAUUAUCAUAAUUUAAUCUCCUAAAUUUUAAACCAACAAAGUGAAAAAUCUAACUAAAAAAAAUUUACAAUCCCCAUAAAAGAUCAUGACUAUUAACACAAAAAGUAUUAAAGACCAAGAACCAGAAAAUACUAUAAAAAAGCAAUACCAACAAAAUACAAGCUAGAAUGCACUUGACAUUUACAAUACCCAUAAAAGAUCAGGACUAAAAAUUGUAUACAAAAGGACAGAAUUCAAACAAAAAAUACAUUACAUCCAUACGCGAGGAACCGAUUCUAGACACCAUGCAUUUACGUUAGUA
Long non-coding RNA from Brassica napus (rape), 2700 nucleotides. RefSeq lists it as uncharacterized. The record is from RefSeq and is a predicted model, not a curated record. The transcript is spliced from 4 exons. NCBI's taxonomy places the organism in Eukaryota, Viridiplantae, Streptophyta, Magnoliopsida, Brassicales, Brassicaceae.